Heterocephalus glaber (naked mole-rat) is the source of this 2658-nucleotide long non-coding RNA. Lineage: Eukaryota; Metazoa; Chordata; Mammalia; Rodentia; Bathyergidae. The record is from Ensembl.
UGGCACGCCCUCCCCGGCUUCACCUUGGGCCCGCGGCGAGGUCUCGGCCCCUGCGGCUCGCGCGCUGCCCGGGCCGGACGGCGGCGCCUGGCGGGAGCGCGCCCGGGGGGGACGGCGCAGGCGUGGAGUUUCCGGACGCAGCGUCCGUCCCGCUGACUUCCCGCGUGGGGCCCGAGUUUCCGAGCGGCUCACCCACCGCUUCCUGCCGGGUGGCUUAUUGUUCUCUUCCAGCUGCCUGGGCAGGUGGCCGCGCCCCGCUUUUCGGCGUACUUGCUCCGCGCAUUUCGCUUCCGGGGUGCUGACACCCACAGCAGCUGGGUCUUAACCCAGGCCUUUAGUUUUCACCCUUUGCGUGGUGUCACUGAAUUGCUCUGGCGGGGCUGGAACUCUUGAUACUCCUGCUCCAACUCCCAGAGUGCUUGGGAUUACAGAUAGGACUCCGUAGAGAAAAGUGGAGUGGAAAGAGAAAGCCCUGACAGCAGUUCUCUUCAGUGCCUGCCUGGCUACCUCUAUGCUUGGAGGCUGAGACACACGCCUAGAUCUUUGCAGUGAACUCUGCUUUUCUGCUGAAGCUAGAUGAAGUGACCUUCUGCUACAACCCAGAGUCCUAACUAAAAGCUGUAUGUAUACCAUGGUCACUAUUUGUUGCUUACAGUAAAUAAGCACAUUCCAUAUAGUGCCUCAGUCAGUGCUCCGGGUCUUCCCAUGAGCAGGCCCUACUUUAUGGAAAGUUGUACAGAGUCUGACUCAGAAGGGUUCUGGCACUGUCUUCAUCCUCUUGAUACCAUCUAGGAAGUCCUAAUGGUUUUGGAAAAGCAGCCUUCCAUUUUCAUUUUGCACUGAGCUCCACAACUUAUAUGGCCGGUCUUGGCUAUGAGGUACUAGCUCUAUGUGAGAAAAGGUAUUUAUUUGUUUCUUUGUUUUGUUUAACUGUCAGUAGACUUCUUAGCGUCUUUAAAACCAAAAUAGGCAUUGUAAAUGUCUAAGUAAAGGACAUAGUGUGUGCAGUGUUUCUCAACCAAAUCAGACCCUAGAAACCUUUUUCACAGCCUCUUAUGAUUUUGUGUUGAGCGGGACACAGAUUGUCUUAGUUACUUUCUUGUUGCUGAGACAAAAUACCCAACACCCACGAAUUAGAGAAAAAGUUUGUUGUAGCUCACAGUUCGUAGAGGUUUCAGUCCGUAGUCAGCUGUUUCCAAGGUAGAGCAGCCUGGCAGACAGGCAUGGCCAAGGAGAAACAGUCCAUGGCAUGGUGGGAGGAGGCAGCAGGGCCUUCCUCCUGCUUUCUCUUUUUAUUCCAUCCAGGCUGUAAGCCCAUUGGUUGGUGUUACCUAAAACCAGCGUGGGCCUUCCCUCUUCAGUAAGUCCAUCAUCCACACCCAGAACUAUGCUAAACCAAUCAGUGGACUGAUCCAGUUCCACAUGGCCAUGAUCCAGACCCUCUCAAAAGCCCCACCCAUGAGGGCAUGAGGUUUUGGGGGGACAGCUAGAUAUAAACCCUAACAGAUUAAAGCCUAAUCCUUUGGUGAUGUGGCUCUGCCUAUGUUCUGAUCUCCUGUCUAGCUCAUGAUUCCCAAAGUAUGGCUAGCAGUUUCUUCCUUCUGUGCCUUCACAUAUGCUUUGCAAUCCGCCAUGCUCAUUAAGCACUUCUGAUUCUAAUUGUCUUCUCUUUAGAUUUACCUACAAGGAAAGAAUGUGCUCCUCAGCUAAUAAAAAUAUCUUGUGUGCUUGGUAGUUAAGAUGGACAUUGUAAUUGACCUCAAUUGCCAUUCUAAUCACUCAGGACUUUUAGAAAUCCAGGAUGUUGGCCCCUGGCCAGACCUACUGAAUCAGAAUCUGCAUUUUCACAAGAUUCCUUGGUAAUACCUGCCACAAUAAAAUCUUGAGAAGCAUUACUAAGCCAAUCACAAUAGUUCCGUCAUGUGCCCUCAAAAUUGGUUCUGUAAUGGGUGUUCCUUACCCAUUUCGAACCAGUGAGACACAAUGAGAUGCCAAUGCAGAGCAAAGCCAAGCCGUCUCUCUCCUGGAUGAAAACAAAGGCACAUGUUGCCUUGGUUCCUGCUGACAGGCAUCUAACAACUGCAAGAGAAACUGCUGGGUAGCCUGGUCAAUAUUUGGUUGCCUUCCUUGUCCGAUCCUGGUUGGACCCUCCAUUGGUUGAAGGAGGGACAGAAUGGAGUGUCCUGACUCUGCUUCCUGAGGAUGCAUUUGUGUGGCCUGUUGAGCCAAGUGACUGUCACCCAGAGGCUGUACAUUGGGAUGGCCUGGGGAACAUUCAGGAUCCAUCCAUUCCUGUGGCCCACCCCUGAGAUCGUGACUUAACGGGCCUGGGGCGGAAGCCAAGACAUUGGCUUUUUUUUUUUUUUUUGUACCGGAGAUUGAACUCGGGUCCUUGCGCUUGCGCCAGGCAAACAAAACCACUGAGCUAAACCCACGGCCCCAUUGGCGUUUUUAAAAAGCUCCUCAGUGGUUAUAAUAUAUAGCUAUAAUUGAGAACCAGCAAUUUAGACAGAUCACAUCUUAGAGCAUAAUACCAUUUUCACAUUCCCCAUGCAAAUGCUCCCUUCCCACUAAGACUGUUUGUGAAAUAUAGACUCGUAACUUUGUUAUCAUUACAAAAAUAAUACAAACCCCUUAUAAAACUGUCUUGAAUUACAG